This is an RNA transcript of Ostrinia furnacalis (Asian corn borer), 2708 nucleotides long. It is a transcript of the gene named flotillin-2, with no coding region annotated. NCBI's taxonomy places the organism in Eukaryota, Metazoa, Arthropoda, Insecta, Lepidoptera, Crambidae. The transcript is spliced from 11 exons. The record is from RefSeq and is a predicted model, not a curated record.
UAGACACUUGUUUUGUAAAGGCGCCUUCUGCAAAUGAGUGUUUGUAUUAGAAUUGGGGUGUAUUAAUUAUUGAUUUAUAAAUAUUAAAAUACCAAUAUUUAGUGAAUCUAUUGUGUUGUGUAUUGUGCUGCAAGAUCCAACAAUGGGCAAUAUCCACACCGUCGGCCCUAACGAGGCACUGAUAGUUUCAGGUGGCUGUUGUGGGUCCACACAGAAGCGGACCAUCGUCGGCGGGUGGGCAUGGGCCUGGUGGCUCGUGACUGACGUCCAGAGGAUUUCCCUCGAGGUUAUGACCCUUAACCCGAUGUGCGAGAUGGUGGAGACAGCACAAGGCGUGCCGCUCACGGUGACUGGAGUCGCGCAGUGCAAGAUCAUGAAUGAAGACGAGCUCCUCACCACCGCCUGCGAGCAGUUCCUUGGCAAAAACGUGAAGGAGAUCAAGAUGACCAUCCUGCAAACGCUGGAGGGGCAUUUGCGAGCUAUUCUGGGAACGCUUACAGUCGAAGAGGUGUACAAGGACCGCGAUCAGUUCGCGGGUCUGGUGCGCGAGGUGGCGGCGCCCGACGUCGGUCGGAUGGGCAUCGAGAUCCUGUCGUUCACGAUCAAGGACGUGUACGAUGACGUGCAGUACCUGGCCAGCUUGGGGAAGGCGCAGACGGCGGUCGUGAAGCGCGACGCCGACGUGGGAGUCGCACAGGCCAACCGGGACGCUGGGAUACGAGAAGCGGAGUGCGAGAAGAGUGCGAUGGACGUGAAGUACUCCAUGGACACCAGGAUCGAGGACAACACCAGGCUGUUCAAGCUGCAGAAGGCGCAGUUCGACCAGGAAGUCAAUACAGCUAAAGCUGAGGCGGCGUUAGCUUACGAAUUGCAGGCCGCUAAGAUUAAGCAGAAGAUCCGAAACGAGGAGAUCCAGAUCGAGGUGGUGGAACGACGCAAGCAGAUUGAGGUAGAGCAACAAGAGAUCUUGCGUCGCGAAGAGGAGCUGGUUUCCACCGUUCGCCUGCCGGCCGAAGCGGAGGCCUACCGUCUCCAGGCCAUUGCUGAGGGCAAACGCACCCAAACGGUAGAAGCCGCGAAGGCCGACGCCGAGCGCAUCAAAGUCCUGGGUUUGGCUGAAGCCACGGCCAUUGGUGACGUAGGCAAGGCUGACGCCGAACGCAUGCUGGCCAAGGCCAAGGUCUACAAGCAGUACGGAGACGCUGCUAUCAUGGCGCUGGUGCUUGAAGCUCUGCCUAAGAUCGCGGCCGAAGUAUCGGCCCCUCUAGCCCGUACAGACGAGAUAGUCCUGGUAGGCGACUCGGGCGCCACGGGCGAGGUCGCGCGGCUGGCGGGAGGCAUCCCGCCCGCGCUCAAGACGCUCACCGGCCUCGACCUCAUGCAGGUGCUGAAGCGGCUCCACCCCUCCGGUGAGAAAGACAAAUAAAAGAGUCUCCUCUGGCAGCAACCACGAGCAAGAAGAAGGAAGUUACAGCUUGCUAAUCACCUGUCCCCCUCCCACGUAAGCGCUUUGUGCCAUAUACCUGUCUCGCUUCUCCAGAAUAUCCCAGAACGGUGUAGUUAAUAUGAACAAUGUUUUAGUCGAGAUCCAAAUGGAUGACUUUUUUAUUUUGUGGCAUCUCUGUUUUUAUGAAUUUUUUAUUUCUAAUUUUGAUAUACUAUGUUUUAGCGCCUAUAAACUGAUUAUUAUGAAGUGUACAUCAAGUAUAAAGUAUCGAAGCACAACAAAAAUGUCGCAUUUACUUUUGAGAUUAUGUGUCACGACUUGGCAAUUCGCAUUUGAAACAGCCGAUUUAUUCGAAUUCGAAUCGUAUCGAUUGUCACUUUAUCUAGACUCAUACAGCUAGAUAAAUCCAAAAUUACUAAUAGUGCUGCAGCUAACACUUUAUUAGCAGCUCAUCUAACAUUUUCUCUCAAGUCCCCCAUAUUAAAUGUAGUUUCCUUAUUUUUCUUUUGCUUUUUUCUUUCUUUACUAAAUGCACAGCAAUAUUCAGUUUUAGUAUCGUUAAGAACAAAAGCGUCGACUCAAAUUACUUUUACGUAAACUUAAAUAAAUACAUAAUAUAUUUCAGUACAAACUAGCUUUAUAGUUUGCUGCAUUUCAUUGCAUUGCUAGGAUUCACUAUUAAUUUACAAAGUAAUUAAUAUAAACGUGAUAAUAAAUGUAAUGUAUUAAUAUAAUACGUAUUUUUAAUUAUUUAUGACAUGUGUAAUGUGUAUUUAGAGAAAUAGUUAAAUAGUUUUUGAAAGUUCAAUAAAUAGUAGAUUACUUUUCAUUCUUCGUUAUAUUAGUAACUUGGAAGUCUGUAAUCAACUCAAUAUUCUUUAGUUAAUAUAUAAAUAUAUACUUAAAAAUCCUUUUUGUAAUGAAAAUGUAAUUGACUAUUUGAAGGUACUUUAUCUAUUCUCUAUACAAGCGUAGGGUGUUGAUAUUUUUCAGUGGAUAUAUUAAAGUACAACUGUGCUAGCGUAAUUUAGAUUUUGUACAACUGUUAGAUCUAUCCUAGACAAAUUCGAUGUGUUCUCUGUCAAGGCACUGCCUUUUUGAUGUAGAUUGUUUGUGGGUUAGUUUUUCGUGUGUCGUACAAUCCAGUUGUGAAAUAUCGUAACCGUACAUUUAUUCAAACUACACAAUUAUUCAAUUCAAUUGUAAGUGAUCUACUAGUACAGUCGCUAACACAUUCAACUAUCUCAAAAAGUAACCUCCA